Molecule: non-coding RNA, 145 nt
Filed under: Roseburia sp.
Lineage: Bacteria; Bacillati; Bacillota; Clostridia; Lachnospirales; Lachnospiraceae
Description: Lysine sequence
Rfam family: Lysine riboswitch aptamer
About the family: Riboswitches are metabolite binding domains within certain messenger RNAs that serve as precision sensors for their corresponding targets. Allosteric rearrangement of mRNA structure is mediated by ligand binding, and this results in modulation of gene expression.
Source: RNAcentral
UAAAAAGGUAGAGGUUGCGUGAUUCAUAAGUAGCAAAAGGGGAGAACGCCGAAAGGAUAUGGUGAUCUGCAGUCGUAUCUUUGGGCAUAGGAUGAAGAAUUCUAUGACUCUCAUCGGUAUAUCAGAUGGAGGCGCUAUCCGAAAA